RNAcentral lists this long non-coding RNA (1866 nucleotides) under Sorghum bicolor (sorghum). RNAcentral's name for it is "long non-coding RNA (SBIC_LNC017882)". Lineage: Eukaryota; Viridiplantae; Streptophyta; Magnoliopsida; Poales; Poaceae. The record is from RNAcentral.
UGGCUUCUGGAGUCUUCUAGAUGGUGGAAAAUCGCGCGGUGCAUUGAUAUCCCUAUGUAAUCCCGACAUGUGGGCCUUUCUUCCUUAUUUCCUGAUAACCCCCUGCAGAAACAGAUAAACAACAAAACUCGUGGAAUUCUGUCAGAUCAAACCCUAAUUCUAGGUGUUGGUUGCAUAUUGGUCCUUUCUCUUGUUUAUUUGAUAAUUAAAAUUGAUACUUAAGAACCGUCAACAAAUACCCCCAUACUUAGGCUUUUACUCGUCCUCGAGAAAAGGAUGGUUAAGAACAAUAUCUGGGGUAAAACAUUUUAAAGCAUUCUUUAUAUAAUUGCAGGGUGUUAAAAAUUUACUGUGUACCAUAGUCAGGGAAGUAUAUGGUUAAGAGUAAAGAUCCUUUCUUCUCAAUCCUGUCACUUGGAGUUUUUGUAUAUUUUUGAAAGAAAGUUAGCAUACCUUUUUAUCCUCAUAGGUUCUCUCAGAUCACUCAUUAUCUUUUAUAUAUAUCUCACUGAGGCUGUUUUAUUUUUGCAAAAAUUCUCAAGCAUACUUACUUUGCAUUUAUUGCCUGAUCAAAACGGGAUCCGAGGAGGGAAAUGUCAUACACUUAGAUCAAAGACUUUGGAAAUUAAAAUCUUUGUCAACUCUUGCUGGCAUAUUGCUUAUUAGAGGGACCAUGGGCUAUCAUUUUUUUCUCUUUUCUCUCUCUUUUUUUUUAAGUGGAUACCGAGGUACCCCUAAUUCUACUGCCGGACACUUGUCCAUUUUUCUACGAGGUUGUCGAGCACUUGCUCCUUUUUAUUUCCUCGAAAUAUUUUUAUUUUUGCAUAGCCCAUGCCUCUAAUGCAAUAAUACUUCAGAAGAGUGAAUCUUUCUGAAAUAAUGUCUUGAUCUUAGGAGCAUGAUAAAUCUCUCAACAAGGGUCUAACUCAUUUUGAACAAACUCAAUACAGAGUAGAUAGCUUUUAUAAUCAUAAUCAAUAUUUUCAGUUUUAUCAGGCAUAUAAAACACUGAGGAUGGUAGCUAGAAUUUUGAAUAUUUUGAAAUAAAUUCUCCAAGCAACAAUGAUAUCAAGAAUAAGAAACUCAUACUCUAUCAUCAUAUAUUCCAUAUUGACUUAAGUAACACAGGGUUUUAAAAUGAUUUUAUAAUAAUUGCAAGUUUUCAGGAAAUAUCACAGAUUGAGAUUAAUCAUGAUUAGAAAUAUUUUAAUCUUUUUAUUUUAUCAUGUCGGAAACAAUAAUCUGCAUAAUCCAAAAUAUAUAUAUGUGUAAAGCAAAGUGUGCAGAGUGUGUACCUGAAUCGUGGAGUGGUGUAGUCGGAGUGUGUUUGUGAUGUGAACCCACUAGGGUUUUCGCCUGAUCUUUCGAUGAGAGGCGCUGGAUAACUCGAUUAGUGAAUGGAGAUGACGUUCACAGCCCGACUACAGCCCUCAAGACUGCGCCUUAGCAACCGAUACACCGCCUCCAAUGGCUGUCACGAUCUUGUGGAGCGCAACACCCGGCCACUAGGGCACUCGUCCUGCAAGCAAUCGAAGAACCAGCAAGAACAAGUAGAACAAGUACUAAAUUACCAGAUGUAAAUGAAGGUUUCAAACUCAAUCUCUAAUGAAGUGGGGUUUCGAAAACAAGAAGACGGGCGGCUGGAUCAGCACGCACGCUUACAAGCAAGUAGCGAAGGCUAAACUUUAUCUAAUCAAAACCCAGUUGUUCAUGGCGGCUCUAGAUGUAAAUAAAUAGAGGGGAGGACGACCAAAGGGGUGAUAGAGUCGUCCUCCAACCCUAGGACGCGUCCCUAAUGGACUCAACUUGAUACAUGGGCCAUUGGUCCAAAAUAGGGUGACGCAGCACCAAAACAGAAAAAGGUGU